This is a long non-coding RNA of Tripterygium wilfordii, 1697 nucleotides long. RefSeq lists it as uncharacterized. NCBI's taxonomy places the organism in Eukaryota, Viridiplantae, Streptophyta, Magnoliopsida, Celastrales, Celastraceae. The transcript is spliced from 7 exons. The record is from RefSeq and is a predicted model, not a curated record.
AAAAAGAAACCAGAGUCGAUUAAAAAAAACGCAAAAGCAAGCAGAAAAAAAAACGUAAAAGGUUGCAAGUUAAUCGUCGGCUCCUCACCUUCAUAAAGACAGAGAGAGAUUGAUUCCUUUUUCGAUAUCCGUUUGUAGAGAUUUUAUUCUAUCGAUUCGAUACCGGUUAUUCCACAACAAGCAAGAGCUAUAGAAAGAUUUUUUUUUGCUUUCUUUGAUUGUUAAUCGUCAUGACGUGAUUGUUGAUAUUUUCUUUUAUAUAUAUGAGACUCUGAUCUUCAAGCCACAAAAGCGAGGUUAAUUGGUUUCUUUUUCAGAUUUGGUCUUUUGUGGGUCUCGAUUGUGCCCUAGGUUCCGCUUCAAAGGAGGAGGUUAAGGCUUCAUGCAGAGAAAACUACUUGGACUCGGGAUCCAGAAAUCAGUAUAUAUUUUAGAAAAUUGUUUGAUUUUGCAUUUUUUUCUCCCACUGUUUUGCUCUGCCCGUGAUCGUGAGAUCCGAAGGAGAAAUUACUGGUCCAUUCCAUGUGUGGACUCUCACUUCCUUCUGAUUUGGUACAUCUGCGGAGCACGGCCUGUGCGAUCAAAAUAGGUAGGCUUCCCUGCUUCUCUUAGUUGAGAUAUUUCACUGGUGGAUAACAAAAAUUCGCCAGUAGCCAAGCAUGCUAGAGUCGAUGGUAUAACUCCCAGUUUGUUCUUACCGGUCUUAGAAUAUCCAGCAUUUCAACCACAUUACAUGCCGGUCCUUGGUUGAGUAUAUUUGUUGGUUGCUUAAAGGAAAGUGAUAAUCCAUAAUCCAUAUAGUUCGAUCUGUGAUGGGAUUAUUUUAAUCUCUGUGCAGAUAAUUAUCAAAAUUUAUCGGCCUCCUUCCCUUUAACUUCCAGAUUCAUCAAGAAUGAGGAGAGAGAGUAUGGGAUGGUGCAUGUUGUGUCAUGGAUGGAAACUUUAGCCAUUCGACUACUUGCAAUUCUUGCUAACUCAACUCUGUCAAAUUCAAGGGACGUAGCGUCUGAACAAGUACCAGUUCAAUAUGGUGGACUUAAGUUCAAUAUGUUGGACUUAACAUGAAAGGUGAGCUGGAAUUCCCAACAUCCAAACAUACCGUCAAAUUCACAUUUAAGGAAGAAAACCAUCUUGCUUGGGAACUCCGGAUGGUUGGUUGGGAUGUGACUAUGUGGCUACGAAGUUGAAUUUGUGCCGAGUGCAGAUGAUGGUUACACAAUGAUUGUAUCAAAUACUAGGAAGGUCACCCUUACUGAUGAACCAGUCAUCUCUGACGGCUUCAAAACUGGUGAGCCUAGAAAGGUUGUGAUCACCAUUGAUAACCAGAUCUCCAAGUAGAAGAAGCUCCUUUACAGGUCCAAGACCAAAACUCCAUCCGAGUGAGGUUCAAUUAUCAAUGCACUCUUUGUCCUGGGUUAUCAGUUGCUUCACAACGCCAAGACCUGAAUGACUUUAUCAACAAUGUUGUUUUUUAUUCACAUUUGUAUCCCUCAAUGAUUUUUUCCCUCGAUCAUUUACAUAUGAUCACAUGUAUAAGUGGAUGUUUACUCAUCUGGUUGUUUUGUAUCAAUAAACUCCUCUUUGUACAUAGUUUUAUUGAUCGAGGGAAAGGGCAAAUACUACUAUUAACUAAUGCAGGUAAAGAAUUAUUAUUGAUUUUCUUUUAUGCAAGGAGAUGGCAUCCUUUUCUCUUGGUA